RNAcentral lists this ribosomal RNA (371 nucleotides) under uncultured Pannonibacter sp. RNAcentral describes it as "bacterial SSU rRNA". It matches the Rfam family "Bacterial small subunit ribosomal RNA", at positions 11 to 412 of the family's 1533-position model. Lineage: Bacteria; Pseudomonadati; Pseudomonadota; Alphaproteobacteria; Hyphomicrobiales; Stappiaceae. The record is from RNAcentral.
GUUUGAUCCUGGCUCAAAACGAACGCUGGCGGCAGGCUUAACACGUGCAAGUCGAACGCCCCGCAAGGGGAGUGGCAGACGGGUGAGUAACACGUGGGAACAUACCCUUUGGUGCGGAACCACAGCUGGAAACGGCUGCUAAUACCGCAUGCGCCCUACGGGGGAAAGAUUUAUCGCCGAAGGAUUGGCCCGCGUCUGAUUAGCUAGUUGGUGAGGUAAUGGCUCACCAAGGCGACGAUCAGUAGCUGGUCUGAGAGGAUGAUCAGCCACACUGGGACUGAGACACGGCCCAGACUCCUACGGGAGGCAGCAGUGGGGAAUAUUGGACAAUGGGCGCAAGCCUGAUCCAGCCAUGCCGCGUGAGUGAUGAA